UGCAGGAUAUACUACGAUUGGA
Molecule: non-coding RNA, 22 nt
Filed under: Arabidopsis thaliana (thale cress)
Lineage: Eukaryota; Viridiplantae; Streptophyta; Magnoliopsida; Brassicales; Brassicaceae
Source: RNAcentral